This 71-nucleotide non-coding RNA is filed under the name Parasynechococcus marenigrum WH 8102. Lineage: Bacteria; Bacillati; Cyanobacteriota; Cyanophyceae; Synechococcales; Prochlorococcaceae. The record is from RNAcentral.
GUCCGGUUCACCGGACUAGGUGAUCCACACCAGUGUUUCGGACAGCGGUUCGAUUCCGCUCAGCUCCACCA